UGGGAAUUUUGGACAAUGGGCGAAAGCCUGAUCCAGCAAUGCCGCGUGUGUGAAGAAGGCCUUCGGGUUGUAAAGCACUUUUGUCCGGAAAGAAAUCCUUGGCUCUAAUACAGUCGGGGGAUGACGGUACCGGAAGAAUAAGCACCGGCUAACUACGUGCCAGCAGCCGCGGUAAUACGUAGGGUGCAAGCGUUAAUCGGAAUUACUGGGCGUAAAGCGUGCGCAGGCGGUUUGCUAAGACCGAUGUGAAAUCCCCGGGCUCAACCUGGGAACUGCAUUGGUGACUGGCAGGCUAGAGUAUGGCAGAGGGGGGUAGAAUUCCACGUGUAGCAGUGAAAUGCGUAGAGAUGUGGAGGAAUACCGAUGGCGAAGGCAGCCCCCUGGGCCAAUACUGACGCUCAUGCACGAAAGCGUGGGGAGCAAACAGGAUUAGAUACCCUGGUAGUCCACGCCCUAAACGAUGUCAACUAGUUGUUGGGGAUUCAUUUCCUUAGUAACGUAGCUAACGCGUGAAGUUGACCGCCUGGGGAGUACGGUCGCAAGAUUAAAACUUAAAGGAAUUGAC
Molecule: ribosomal RNA, 565 nt
Filed under: uncultured bacterium
Lineage: Bacteria
Description: partial 16S ribosomal RNA
Rfam family: Bacterial small subunit ribosomal RNA
Source: RNAcentral